AUUGAACGCUGGCGGCAGGCCUAACACAUGCAAGUCGGGUGAGUGGCGGACGGGUGAGUAAUGUAUGGGGAUCUGACUGAUGGAGGGGGAUAACUACUGGUAACGGUAGCUAAUAUCGCAUACUAUCAGAUGAACCAAUAUGGGAUUAGCUUGUAGGUAAGGUAACGGCUUACCUAGGCGACGAUCCCUAGCUGGUCUGAGAGGAUGAUCAGCCACACUGGGACUGAGACACGGCCCAGACGCCUACGUGAGGCAGCAGUGGGGAAUAUUGCACAAUGGGCGCAAGCCUGAUGCAGCCAUGCCGCGUGUAUGAAGAAGGCCUUCGGGUUGUAAAGUACUUUCAGUCGGGAGGCGUUACCGACAGAAGAAGCACCGGCUAACUCCGUGCCAGCAGCCGCGGUAAUAC
This 406-nucleotide ribosomal RNA is filed under the name uncultured bacterium. RNAcentral describes it as "partial 16S ribosomal RNA". It matches the Rfam family "Bacterial small subunit ribosomal RNA", at positions 30 to 526 of the family's 1533-position model. The record is from RNAcentral.